AUACAAAAUUUCCGAAUUUGAGGAAUCAAGAGAAUCAAGAAUUCCAUCUGACACGAGUUUCAGAAUUCUUUGAAUGGAUAUGUGAACCAAACGUUUAUGCCCGAGUGAAAUAGAAUUCUCAUUAGUUAAUUUUUGGUACCAUUAAACUUGUAUGCAAAGUUUCUUUAUUUGAAGUUAUUGUAUCAACCAAAUAUAAGCUAUCAAAUGUUGAUAAAACACCAGUACCAAUANNNN
RNAcentral lists this long non-coding RNA (234 nucleotides) under Nicotiana benthamiana. RNAcentral's name for it is "long non-coding RNA (NBEN_LNC024978)". Lineage: Eukaryota; Viridiplantae; Streptophyta; Magnoliopsida; Solanales; Solanaceae. The record is from RNAcentral.